This 694-nucleotide small RNA is filed under the name Pan troglodytes (chimpanzee). RNAcentral's name for it is "processed transcript". Lineage: Eukaryota; Metazoa; Chordata; Mammalia; Primates; Hominidae. The record is from RNAcentral.
CGUCCCCGCCCGUCCUGCCAGAGGAAGGCCCUGGCGACAGCCUCCCGUCGCACACGGCCACCAACUUCUCCAGCCCCAUCUCACCGCCCAGCCCCCUCACGCCCAAGUACGGUAGCUUCAUCAGCAGGGACAGCUCCCUGACGGGCAUCAGCGAGUUCGCCUCAUCCUUUGGCACGGCCAACAUAGACAGCGUCCUCAUUGACUGCUUCACGGGCGGCCACGACAGCUACCUGGCCAUCCCCGGCAGCGUCCCCAGGCCGCCCAUCAGCGUCAGCUUCCCCCGGGCCCCCGACGGCUUCUACCGCCAGGACCGUGGACUUCUGGAGGGCAGAGAGGGUGCCCUGACCUCCGGCUGUGACGGGGACAUUCUGAGGGUGGGCUCCUUGGACACCUCUAAGCCGAGGUCGUCAGGGAUUCUGAAGAGACCCCAGACCUUGGCCAUCCCGGACGCAGCCGGAGGAGGGGGUCCCGAAACCAGCAGGAGAAGGAAUGUGACCUUCAGUCAGCAGGUGGCCAAUAUCCUGCUCAACGGCGUGAAGUACGAGAGCGAGCUGACGGGCUCCAGCGAGCGCGUGGAGCAGCCUCUGUCCGUGGGGCGCCUCUGCUCCACCAUCUGCAACAUGCCCAAGGCGCUACGCACACUCUGCGUCAACCACUUCCUGGUCUCUUUCCGCUGUUGAGUGGUUGAACAUUU